UAAUACGAGGAGAGCAAGCGUUAUCCGGAUUUAUUGGGCGUAAAGCGUGCGCAAGCGGUUUUAUAAGUGAGAUGUUAAAUACCAAGGCUCAACCUUGGAAUCGCACCUCAUACUGUAAGACUAGAGUCAAUGAGAGGCAAACGGAAUUGCUGGUGUAGUAGUGAAAUGCGUUGAUAUCAGCAGGAACACCAAAAGCGAAAGCAGUUUGCUGGCAUUGUACUGACGCCGUUGCACGACAGCGUGGGGAGCAAACGGGAUUAGAUACCCCGGUAGUCCACGCCGUAAACGUUGAAUACUAGGGGCUGGGAGAAUCGACCCUCUCAGUCUCGAAGCUAACGCGUUAAGUAUUCCGCCUGGGUAGUACGGCCGCAAGGUUA
This 377-nucleotide ribosomal RNA is filed under the name uncultured bacterium. Its description in RNAcentral is "bacterial SSU rRNA". It matches the Rfam family "Bacterial small subunit ribosomal RNA", at positions 521 to 896 of the family's 1533-position model. The record is from RNAcentral.